Molecule: ribosomal RNA, 1476 nt
Filed under: Acidiplasma aeolicum
Lineage: Archaea; Methanobacteriati; Thermoplasmatota; Thermoplasmata; Thermoplasmatales; Ferroplasmaceae
Also listed under: 1 other name
Description: bacterial SSU rRNA
Rfam family: Archaeal small subunit ribosomal RNA
Source: RNAcentral
GGAUUAACUCCGGUUGAUCCUGCCGGCGGCCACUGCUAUCAAGUUCCGACUAAGCCAUGCGAGUCAAGGUAUCGUAAGAUGCCGGCAUACUGCUCAGUAACACGUGGAUAAUUUACCCUUGGGAAAGGGAUAACCUCGGAAAACUGAGGCUAAUACCUUAUAGUUGCUUAAAACUGGAAGGUUUAGGCAAUGAAAGUUUCGACGCCCAAGGAUAAGUCUGCGGCCUAUCAGGUAGUAGGUGGUGUAACGGACCACCUAGCCUUAGACGGGUACGGGCCCUGGGAGGGGUAGCCCGGAGAUGGACUCUGAGACAUAAGUCCAGGCCCUACGGGGCGCAGCAGGCGCGAAAACUGUGCAAUGCGCGAAAGCGCGACACGGGGAGCUUGAGUGUCUUGGCAUAGCCAAGACUUUUCUUAUACCUAAAAAGUAUAAGGAAUAAGUGCUGGGUAAGACGGGUGCCAGCCGCCGCGGUAACACCCGCAGCACAAGUGGUGGUCACUUUUAUUGAGCCUAAAGCGUUCGUAGCCGGUUUUGUAAAUCUUCAGGUAAAUCCUGAAGCCUAACUUCAGAAGGCCUGAAGAGACUGCAAAACUUGAGAUCGGGUGAGGUUAAACGUACUUUCAGGGUAGGGGUAAAAUCCUGUAAUCCUGGAAGGACGACCGGUGGCGAAGGCGUUUAACUAGAACGAAUCUGACGGUGAGGAACGAAGGCUAGGGUAGCAAACCGGAUUAGAUACCCGGGUAGUCCUAGCUGUAAACACUGCCCACUUGAUGUUGCUUUUCCGUUGAGGGAAGGCAGUGUCGGAGCGAAGGUGUUAAGUGGGCCGCUUGGGAAGUAUGGUCGCAAGACUGAAACUUAAAGGAAUUGGCGGGGGAGCACCGCAACGGGAGGAAUGUGCGGUUUAAUUGGAUUCAACGCCGGAAAACUCACCGGGAACGACCUGUGGAUGAGAGUCAACCUGACGAGUUUACUCGAUAGCAGGAGAGGUGGUGCAUGGCCGUCGUCAGCUCGUACCGUAGGGCGUUCACUUAAGUGUGAUAACGAGCGAGACCCACAUCUCUAAUUGCUAAUGUAUAUGCGAAUAUACAUGCACUUUAGAGAGACCGCCAUCGCUAAGAUGGAGGAAGGAGCGGUCGACGGCAGGUCAGUACGCCCCGAAUUUCCCGGGCUACACGCGCAUUACAAAGAACGGGACAAUGCGUUGCAACCUCGAAAGGGGAAGCUAAUCGCGAAACCCGUCCAUAGUUAGGAUUGAGGGCUGUAACUCGCCCUCAUGAAUCUGGAUUCCGUAGUAAUCGCGGGUCAACAACCCGCGGUGAACAUGCCCCUGCUCCUUGCACACACCGCCCGUCAAACCAUCCGAGUUGGUGUUGGAUGAGGCUUAAUUCGAGAGGGUUAAGUCAAAUCUGAUGUCGGUGAGGAGGGUUAAGUCGUAACAAGGUAUCCGUAGGGGAACCUGCGGAUGGAUCACCUCCA